Molecule: non-coding RNA, 2304 nt
Organism: Meleagris gallopavo (turkey)
Lineage: Eukaryota; Metazoa; Chordata; Aves; Galliformes; Phasianidae
Source: RefSeq, a predicted model, not a curated record
UUGAAGCCCUCUCUUUCCUACUGGUAUUUAAGUCACAGAGAGUCAUUACAAGUGCAGCUAAAAUUAAGUCAGGUUUUAAAAACACGUCCAUUACUGGAAACGGUAAAAUUUCUUACGCUCUUUGCAUUGUAGGAAAAGGCACAAGCACUUGAACAACACAGAGGAGGAGCUGUCAACGGGUUUCGUGCUUGGUGGCAAGCAGUACAGCGCACACUUACCAGAGUUUGGCAUGCCAAUCCUUCACAGCACUAAAGCUGGUAGAGCCGUGAGUGUCCAGAAAAAGCAGGCGGGUAGGAAACUGAGAGGAGCCAGGAGAUGGCAUUUCUCUAAGAACCUCAUGACUGCGUCAGCGUAAUCAGUAAAAAGCAACUGACAGAUCUUGCAGUAGAAAUGGUGUAGUGAAAUAAAUACAGUAUCUUAAACAGGAUUAAAAUAGAACAUUUUACUAGUUAUUUCAAAGAAUAGAUUCUUUUUUCUUCCAUCAUUCUUGUCUGUAUGUUCAGAUUCCAGCUAAACUCCAAACAGAUAUUUCUUUUUGUUAGGUACCAAGUCCAAAUAUGCCAAGGUAAAAGAUUUAGGAGAAAGAAAUAGUCGAUCUUUUUGUUUCUCGCAUGGUAGGCUACGUUGCGUUUCUCAUGCCUAAAAACAAGUACUGUCACUCAAAAUAUUUGGUCAGAAACCUCAAGUUGAAAAGGAGGUAUUUGACAGAAAUGUCACAUUUACAUUAGCAUAACAUGCGAACAGCUUCUAAAGACAAACACUAAAAGAAGUUUCCCGUAGGAGAACCUGUGCGAGGGGAAAACAAACAAAAUCACGGUAGCACAAGUCCAUUUACUACCAGAGCAGAACCAACAACAACCGUCAUCCAGAUCUUGAGCUAGUUCGAUCUCAUCCUGAAGAAGUUGGCGUAACGUAACAGGAUGCUUUUCUCAUGUAAAUAUACGCUUGUUUUUCUUUUUUUCCCUAAUAUCUCAUUGGAGAAGAACAGUUUGCUCUGUAUUGCUAAUGCUUUUUAGCUACUACCUGGUAGUUAUGAACAACAGUAUCUCACAGCUCCCUGCUGAAGGUGUAAAAUGACGCAUUCACUACUUCAAGUUACAAGCAGAAAUUAAAAGCAGCUGCCAGUAUUUUAUAGCGUCUACUUCACAACUAAUGCGUACUUCAAAGAUUUUGAAACAAUUCUGUGUCUUCUGUCAGACUUUGCCCUUCACAGCUGCAUUUAGACGUAUUAACCUUGGAAAAUGUUCACUUUUUAUCCCCUUCACCACGAUCCGUUUAUCUUACAGCAGGUUUCUGUUUGAGUGGAAUGGAGUUUGUACCAUUUAAUCCAGCAGCUAUCUGGGCUUGAAAAUCUAUCUAUCCCCUCCCUAUUAAUUACUUUUUACACCUCUUUCUGUCUCAUAGAGUCCUGUAUCAUCCUGGUUUAUUUCAGCGGAAUACAGCCAUAGGAUGACAAUUAUUGAUGGAUCGUAGAAACUGGAGCUAAAAGACUGUAAAAAGAAGAAAACAUAACUGAUGUGGGAAGAGAUGAAAAGAUGAAAAAUUGUCUAGAGAAGAAAAUUGGAAUGAGUUAAUUCACGAAAGAAAAUGAAUAAAUCGCGGACAGGUAGCUCUGAAUAAGAUUAAUUGCUACACGUUUCCUUCUCCUUUACAAUUUUUACCGUACUUAAUCAACUGUUUCACAGUUCUGCUUAAAUACUCUUACAAAUGCUAAUUCCACUGUUACUUAAGUUUGGUACUUCGGCGUCGAGUGAGAUUCUCUGCUUGCAUAAACUGGCUGUAUCGCUAUUGACUUUGGUACUGUUAGUCAAAUUUAACCAGCCGAGGAUUUGCUCCGUUGACUUUCAUGGAUUUAUUUUUAAUUUAUUCCUCUGAGCUCAGACUCAAGAGCUCUGGAUAUAAAUCUUGAACAUAAAUAGACACUUUCCAAAUCUAAACAGUAUAGCCACAAGUACCGAUACAGGAAAAACAAGCUAGGCAUGUAUAGAACUUUCUGAAAAGUCAACCAAAUGUUGCUGUGCAUAUAUUAGUAGUUUACCAUUUAUUAAACAAUAAAUCAAGAUAAAAAAAACUAAUUAACUUAAAUGAAGUAUUGUUUAGUGAAACGUGAGCCUGUCAAAAUAGUUGCUGGGGGACAAUUAAUUGGUACAAAUGUGAGUGCAAAUUUUGUUUUUAAACUUUAAAGCAUGUCGUCUGUAGUAUACAACGUAUGCGCACGAUACAAAUUUCAUACAUUUUCUUCAGUGACAAUAAAAAGUGCAGUUUAUUAUAAACUGAAGUAAAAAUUAAAAUUAAAAAAAAAAA